AUUGAACGCUGGCGGCAUGCUUUACACAUGCAAGUCGAACGGUAACAGCACUUCGGUGGCUGACGAGUGGCGAACGGGUGAGUAAUACAUCGGAACGUGCCUGGUAGUGGGGGAUAACUACUCGAAAGAGUAGCUAAUACCGCAUGAGAUCUAAGGAUGAAAGCAGGGGACCUUCGGGCCUUGCGCUACUAGAGCGGCUGAUGGCAGAUUAGGUAGUUGGUGGGAUAAAAGCUUACCAAGCCGACGAUCUGUAGCUGGUCUGAGAGGACGACCAGCCACACUGGGACUGAGACACGGCCCAGACUCCUACGGGAGGCAGCAGUGGGGAAUUUUGGACAAUGGGCGCAAGCCUGAUCCAGCAAUGCCGCGUGCAGGAUGAAGGCCUUCGGGUUGUAAACUGCUUUUGUACGGAACGAAAAGCCCUCUUCUAAUACAGGAGGGUCAUGACGGUACCGUAAGAAUAAGCACCGGCUAACUACGUG
RNAcentral lists this ribosomal RNA (482 nucleotides) under uncultured bacterium. RNAcentral describes it as "partial 16S ribosomal RNA". It matches the Rfam family "Bacterial small subunit ribosomal RNA", at positions 30 to 507 of the family's 1533-position model. The record is from RNAcentral.